RNAcentral lists this ribosomal RNA (279 nucleotides) under uncultured Actinomycetales bacterium. Its description in RNAcentral is "partial 16S ribosomal RNA". It matches the Rfam family "Bacterial small subunit ribosomal RNA", at positions 504 to 781 of the family's 1533-position model. The record is from RNAcentral. Lineage: Bacteria; Bacillati; Actinomycetota; Actinomycetes; Actinomycetales.
UGUGCCAGCAGCCGCGGUAAUACGUAGGGUGCGAGCGUUGUCCGGAAUUACUGGGCGUAAAGAGCUCGUAGGUGGUCUGUCGCGUCAUUUGUGAAAGCCCGGGGCUUAACUCCGGGUUGGCAGGUGAUACGGGCAUGACUGGAGUACUGUAGGGGAGACUGGAAUUCCUGGUGUAGCGGCGAAAUGCGCAGAUAUCAGGAGGAACACCGGUGGCGAAGGCGGGUCUCUGGGCAGUAACUGACGCUGAGGAGCGAAAGCAUGGGUAGCGAACAGGAUUAG